GAAGUGCUUGCACUCAAUUGGAAAGAGGAGUGGCGGACUGUGGUGAGUAACACGUGGGUAACCUACCCAUCAGAGGGGGAUAACACUUGGAAACAGGUGCUAAUACCGCAUAACAGUUUAUGCCGCAUGGCAUAAGAGUGAAAGGCGCUUUCGGGUGUCGCUGAUGGAUGGACCCGCGGUGCAUUAGCUAGUUGGUGAGGUAACGGCUCACCAAGGCCACGAUGCAUAGCCGACCUGAGAGGGUGAUCGGCCACACUGGGACUGAGACACGGCCCAGACUCCUACGGGAGGCAGCAGUAGGGAAUCUUCGGCAAUGGACGAAAGUCUGACCGAGCAACGCCGCGUGAGUGAAGAAGGUUUUCGGAUCGUAAAACUCUGUUGUUAGAGAAGAACAAGGACGUUAGUAACUGAACGUCCCCUGACGGUAUCUAACCAGAAAGCCACGGCUAACUACGUGCCAGCAGCCGCGGUAAUACGUAGGUGGCAAGCGUUGUCCGGAUUUAUUGGGCGUAAAGCGAGCGCAGGCGGUUUCUUAAGUCUGAUGUGAAAGCCCCCGGCUCAACCGGGGAGGGUCAUUGGAAACUGGGAGACUUGAGUGCAGAAGAGGAGAGUGGAAUUCCAUGUGUAGCGGUGAAAUGCGUAGAUAUAUGGAGGAAACACCAGUGGCGAAGGCGGCUCUCUGGUCUGUAACUGACGCCU
RNAcentral lists this ribosomal RNA (699 nucleotides) under uncultured bacterium. RNAcentral describes it as "bacterial SSU rRNA". It matches the Rfam family "Bacterial small subunit ribosomal RNA", at positions 70 to 748 of the family's 1533-position model. The record is from RNAcentral.